GACGAACGCUGGCGGCGUGCUUAACACAUGCAAGUCGAACGGGCUCUGUCUGGCUGUGUGCUGGGUGGGGUUAGUGGCGAACGGGUGAGUAAUACGUGAGUAACCUGCCCUCUUCUUUGGGAUAAGCCUUGGAAACGGGGUCUAAUACUGGAUAUUCCUGUCUGGUCGCAUGGCUGGGUGGGGAAAGUUUUUUUCGGUGGGGGAUGGGCUCGCGGCCUAUCAGCUUGUUGGUGGGGUGAUGGCCUACCAAGGCGGCGACGGGUAGCCGGCCUGAGAGGGUGACCGGCCACACUGGGACUGAGAUACGGCCCAGACUCCUACGGGAGGCAGCAGUGGGGGAUAUUGCACAAUGGGCGCAAGCCUGAUGCAGCGACGCCGCGUGGGGGAUGACGGCUUUCGGGUUGUAAACCUCUUUCGUCGGGGGACAAGGCUCUGCUUGGUGGUGGGGUUGAGGGUACCCGGGGAAGAAGCGCCGGCUAACUACGU
RNAcentral lists this ribosomal RNA (486 nucleotides) under uncultured bacterium. RNAcentral's name for it is "partial 16S ribosomal RNA". It matches the Rfam family "Bacterial small subunit ribosomal RNA", at positions 28 to 506 of the family's 1533-position model. The record is from RNAcentral.